UGGGGGAUAUUGCACAAUGGGCGAAAGCCUGAUGCAGCGACGCCGCGUGAGGGAAGACGGUCUUCGGAUUGUAAACCUCUGUCUUCGGGGACGAAGUAUGACGGUACCCGAGGAGGAAGCUACGGCUAACUACGUGCCAGCAGACGCGGUAAUACGUAGGUGGCAAGCGUUGUCCGGAAUUACUGGGUGUAAAGGGAGCGUAGGCGGGAGCGCAAGUUGAAUGUUAAAUCUAUCGGCUCAACCGGUAGCCGCGUUCAAAACUGCGUUUCUUGAGUGAAGUAGAGGUUGGCGGAAUUCCUAGUGUAGCGGUGAAAUGCGUAGAUAUUAGGAGGAACACCAGUGGCGAAGGCGGCCAACUGGGCUUUUACUGACGCUGAAGCUCGAAAGCGUGGGGAGCAAACAGG
RNAcentral lists this ribosomal RNA (404 nucleotides) under uncultured prokaryote. Its description in RNAcentral is "bacterial SSU rRNA". It matches the Rfam family "Bacterial small subunit ribosomal RNA", at positions 355 to 776 of the family's 1533-position model. The record is from RNAcentral. RNAcentral also lists the same sequence under 1 other name.